AUGCACGCUGGCGGCGUGCCUAAUACAUGCAAGUCGAGCGAACGGACGAGAGGCUUGCUUCUCUGAUGUUAGCGGCGGACGGGUGAGUAACACGUGGAUAACCUACCUAUAAGACUGGGAUAACUUCGGGAAACCGGAGCUAAUACCGGAUAAUAUUUUGAACCGCAUGGUUCAAAAGUGAAAGACGGUCUUGCUGUCACUUAUAGAUGGAUCCGCGCUGCAUUAGCUAGUUGGUAAGGUAACGGCUUACCAAGGCAACGAUGCAUAGCCGACCUGAGAGGGUGAUCGGCCACACUGGAACUGAGACACGGUCCAGACUCCUACGGGAGGCAGCAGUAGGGAAUCUUCCGCAAUGGGCGAAAGCCUGACGGAGCAACGCCGCGUGAGUGAUGAAGGUCUUCGGAUCGUAAAACUCUGUUAUUAGGGAAGAACAUAUGUGUAAGUAACUGUGCACAUCUUGACGGUACCUAAUCAGAAAGCCACGGCUAACUACGUG
RNAcentral lists this ribosomal RNA (496 nucleotides) under uncultured bacterium. Its description in RNAcentral is "partial 16S ribosomal RNA". It matches the Rfam family "Bacterial small subunit ribosomal RNA", at positions 29 to 507 of the family's 1533-position model. The record is from RNAcentral.